AACGAACGCUGGCGGCAGGCCUAACACAUGCAAGUCGAGCGCCCACUUCGGUGGGAGCGGCGGACGGGUAAGUAACGCGUGGGAAUCUACCUAGUAGUGGAGGAUAACUCGAGGAAACUCGAGCUAAUACUGCAUACGCCCUACGGGGGAAAGCGGGGGAUCUUCGGACCUCGUGCUAUUGGAUGAGCCCGCGUUAGAUUAGCUUGUUGGUGAGGUAACGGCUCACCAAGGCGACGAUCUAUAGCUGGUCUGAGAGGAUGAUCAGCCACAUUGGGACUGAGACACAGCCCAA
RNAcentral lists this ribosomal RNA (292 nucleotides) under uncultured bacterium. RNAcentral's name for it is "partial 16S ribosomal RNA". It matches the Rfam family "Bacterial small subunit ribosomal RNA", at positions 29 to 334 of the family's 1533-position model. The record is from RNAcentral.